GGAUUCAUUUUCUCAGUAACGUAGCUAACGCGUGAAGUUGACCGCCUGGGGAGUACGGUCGCAAGAUUAAAACUCAAAGGAAUUGACGGGGACCCGCACAAGCGGUGGAUGAUGUGGAUUAAUUCGAUGCAACGCGAAAAACCUUACCUACCCUUGACAUGCCACUAACGAAGCAGAGAUGCAUUAGGUGCCCGAAAGGGAAAGUGGACACAGGUGCUGCAUGGCUGUCGUCAGCUCGUGUCGUGAGAUGUUGGGUUAAGUCCCGCAACGAGCGCAACCCUUGUCUCUAGUUGCUACGCAAGAGCACUCUAGAGAGACUGCCGGUGACAAACCGGAGGAAGGUGGGGAUGACGUCAAGUCCUCAUGGCCCUUAUGGGUAGGGCUUCACACGUCAUACAAUGGUGCGUACAGAGGGUUGCCAACCCGCGAGGGGGAGCUAAUCCCAGAAAACGCAUCGUAGUCCGGAUCGUAGUCUGCAACUCGACUACGUGAAGCUGGAAUCGCUAGUAAUCGCGGAUCAGCAUGCCGCGGUGAAUACGUUCCC
This 544-nucleotide ribosomal RNA is filed under the name uncultured bacterium. RNAcentral describes it as "bacterial SSU rRNA". It matches the Rfam family "Bacterial small subunit ribosomal RNA", at positions 828 to 1375 of the family's 1533-position model. The record is from RNAcentral.